This 237-nucleotide ribosomal RNA is filed under the name Klebsiella pneumoniae. Its description in RNAcentral is "partial 23S ribosomal RNA". It matches the Rfam family "Bacterial large subunit ribosomal RNA", at positions 1624 to 1873 of the family's 2925-position model. Lineage: Bacteria; Pseudomonadati; Pseudomonadota; Gammaproteobacteria; Enterobacterales; Enterobacteriaceae. The record is from RNAcentral.
GGCCCGGCCCAGAUGCUAUCUGGUUAGAACGAACACACGUGGUCAAGGAGAAAAUCCUAAGGCAAGCGAGACAACUGUAGCUAAGGAACUCUGCAAAAUAACUCCGUAACUUCGGAAGAAGGAGUGCUCAUCUUUGAUGAGCCACAGUGAAGAGGGAGGGGCACCCGUGUAACAAAAACACUCUCUCUGCUAAGUCGCAAGACGAUGUAUAGGGGGUGACACCUGCCCAGUAACGGA